UACGGAGGGGGCUAGCGUUGUUCGGAAUUACUGGGCGUAAAGCGCGCGUAGGCGGACCUGCAAGUCGGGGGUGAAAGCCCGAGGCUCAACCUCGGAACUGCCUUCGAUACUGCGGGUCUCGAGUCCGGGAGAGGUGAGUGGAACUGCGAGUGUAGAGGUGAAAUUCGUAGAUAUUCGCAAGAACACCAGUGGCGAAGGCGGCUCACUGGCCCGGUACUGACGCUGAGGUGCGAAAGCGUGGGGGAGCAAACAGG
RNAcentral lists this ribosomal RNA (254 nucleotides) under uncultured bacterium. Its description in RNAcentral is "partial 16S ribosomal RNA". It matches the Rfam family "Bacterial small subunit ribosomal RNA", at positions 524 to 776 of the family's 1533-position model. The record is from RNAcentral.